ACCCGGAGAGACAGCAGAAUGAAGGUCAAGCUGAAGACUUUACCAGACAAGCUGAGAAGUGGUGCAUGGCCGUCGCCAGCUCGUGCCGUGAGAUGUCCUGUUAAGUCAGGUAACGAGCGAGAUCCCUGCCUCUAGUUGCCACCAUUACUCUCAGGAGUAGCGGGGCGAAUUAGCGGGACCGCCGCAGUUAAUGCGGAGGAAGGAAGGGGCCACGGCAGGUCAGUAUGCCCUGAAACUUUGGGGCCACACGCGGGCUGCAAUGAUAGUGACAGUGAGUUCCUAAACCGAAAGGUGGAGGCAAUCUUCAAACGCUAUCACAGUUAUGAUUGAGGGCUGCAACUCGCCCUCAUGAAUAUGGAAUCCCUAGUAACUGCGUGUCAUUACCGCGCGGUGAAUACGUCCCUGCUCCUUGCACACACCGCCCGUCGUUUCAUUGAAGUUUGCUUUUAGCGACGGUGACGUCUCAUUGGCGUUAUCGAACUUGA
This 485-nucleotide ribosomal RNA is filed under the name uncultured crenarchaeote. Its description in RNAcentral is "bacterial SSU rRNA". It matches the Rfam family "Archaeal small subunit ribosomal RNA", at positions 929 to 1412 of the family's 1478-position model. Lineage: Archaea; Thermoproteati; Thermoproteota. The record is from RNAcentral.